RNAcentral lists this ribosomal RNA (492 nucleotides) under uncultured bacterium. RNAcentral's name for it is "partial 16S ribosomal RNA". It matches the Rfam family "Bacterial small subunit ribosomal RNA", at positions 29 to 507 of the family's 1533-position model. The record is from RNAcentral.
AGUGAACGCUGGCGGUAGGCCUAACACAUGCAAGUCGAACGGCAGCACAGUAAGAGCUUGCUCUUACGGGUGGCGAGUGGCGGACGGGUGAGGAAUACAUCGGAAUCUACUUUUACGUGGGGGAUAACGUAGGGAAACUUACGCUAAUACCGCAUACGACCUACGGGUGAAAGCAGGGGAUCUUCGGACCUUGCGCGAUUGAAUGAGCCGAUGUCGGAUUAGCUAGUUGGCGGGGUAAAGGCCCACCAAGGCGACGAUCCGUAGCUGGUCUGAGAGGAUGAUCAGCCACACUGGAACUGAGACACGGUCCAGACUCCUACGGGAGGCAGCAGUGGGGAAUAUUGGACAAAGGGCGCAAGCCUGAUCCAGCCAUACCGCGUGGGUGAAGAAGGCCUUCGGGUUGUAAAGCCCUUUUGUUGGGAAAGAAAAGCAGCAGGUUAAUACCCCGCUGUUCUGACGGUACCCAAAGAAUAAGCACCGGCUAACUUCGUG